GGAUAUAGCUCAGUGGUAGAGCUUCUGCUUAACAUGCAUGAGAUCCUGGAUUUAUUACCCAGUACAUCCA
Molecule: transfer RNA, 70 nt
Filed under: Camelus bactrianus (Bactrian camel)
Lineage: Eukaryota; Metazoa; Chordata; Mammalia; Artiodactyla; Camelidae
Also listed under: 2 other names
Rfam family: tRNA
About the family: Transfer RNA (tRNA) molecules are approximately 80 nucleotides in length. Their secondary structure includes four short double-helical elements and three loops (D, anti-codon, and T loops).
Source: Rfam by way of RNAcentral